AUUGAACGCUGGCGGCAGGCUUAACACAUGCAAGUCGAGCGGGGGAAGGUAGCUUGCUACCGGACCUAGCGGCGGACGGGUGAGUAAUGCUUAGGAAUCUGCCUAUUAGUGGGGGACAACAUCUCGAAAGGGAUGCUAAUACCGCAUACGUCCUACGGGAGAAAGCAGGGGAUCUUCGGACCCUGUGCUAAUAGAUGAGCCUAAGUCGGAUUAGCUAGUUGGUGGGGUAAAGGCCUACCAAGGCGACGAUCUGUAGCGGGUCUGAGAGGAUGAUCCGCCACACUGGGACUGAGACACGGCCCAGACUCCUACGGGAGGCAGCAGUGGGGAAUAUUGGACAAUGGGGGGAACCCUGAUCCAGCCAUGCCGCGUGUGUGAAGAAGGCCUUAUGGUUGUAAAGCACUUUAAGCGAGGAGGAGGCUACUUUAGUCAAUACCUAGAGAUAGUGGACGUUACUCGCAGAAUAAGCACCGGCUAACUCUGUGCCAGCCGCCGCCGUAA
RNAcentral lists this ribosomal RNA (501 nucleotides) under uncultured bacterium. RNAcentral's name for it is "partial 16S ribosomal RNA". It matches the Rfam family "Bacterial small subunit ribosomal RNA", at positions 30 to 523 of the family's 1533-position model. The record is from RNAcentral.